This is a long non-coding RNA of Rhipicephalus sanguineus (brown dog tick), 612 nucleotides long. RefSeq lists it as uncharacterized. NCBI's taxonomy places the organism in Eukaryota, Metazoa, Arthropoda, Arachnida, Ixodida, Ixodidae. The transcript is spliced from 4 exons. The record is from RefSeq and is a predicted model, not a curated record.
AGAUACAUCAGAACAUCAUGAACACGGAUAUGAGAUUUGCCCUGGGAUUUCUUUUAACAUCUAUCACAGCCGCACAUAUAAACAAAGGUACUUACAGUUCGCUGAGCGUUACAGAACUGGUAGCGGAAUACGUUGCGCAACGCAACAUAUCUUUGCGAGGAAGAAUUGCCGAUUUUGGACUUACAAGCGAUUACAGAUAUUGGAAGGACACUAAACCAACCCCAACGAUGCCUCCAGUUUCGGGAGAAGAGGAUUGGAUCAAUUACACGAUACCAAUAGAAUACCUUCACACUAAAGAAAAACGUUGCAUUGGAAUUUUCACAUGGUUAUUUUACAGAGACGUAUGUGCUCCAUUUCACAUUUUUCUCAACACCACAGUUCCUGUAGCCCUGUCUGGACUGCUACGUAGGCGCGUUGUAUUCGACCUAAGUAACAAAACAAUGGAGACGGUAAUGGAAAGGUGGGGGCGCAACCAAUCAGUUAUAAUCAAUCAAAGGACACACAUGAGGGUAAGUGGCCUUUUGCUUCGGUGCAUAGACACCACACACAUGGUUAACAGGUACUCGUCACCAUUAUUUCUUAUUACAAACAGAGCAUCAAAGCCAUCAUACC